GAUCAAUGAUGAGUCUAUUCCAAACCUGAGUUGUGAUGACACACUUAUUAUGGAUCUGACUGCUGAGUU
Small nucleolar RNA from Leptobrachium leishanense (Leishan spiny toad), 69 nucleotides. NCBI's taxonomy places the organism in Eukaryota, Metazoa, Chordata, Amphibia, Anura, Megophryidae. The record is from Ensembl.